Molecule: ribosomal RNA, 440 nt
Filed under: uncultured bacterium
Lineage: Bacteria
Description: partial 16S ribosomal RNA
Rfam family: Bacterial small subunit ribosomal RNA
Source: RNAcentral
CCUACGGGAGGCAGCAGUGGGCGAUCUUCCACAAUGGGCGGAACUCUGAUGCAGCGACGCCGCGUGAGCGAUGGAGUAUUUCGGUAUGUAAAGCUCUGUCAGCAGGGAAGAAAAUGACGGUACCUGACCAAGAAGCCCCGGCUAAAUACGUGCCAGCAGCCGCGGUAAUACGUAGGGGGCAAGCGUUAUCCGGAUUUACUGGGUGUAAAGGGAGCGGCGGCGGCAGGGCAAGCCUGAGGUGAAAGCCCGGGGCUCAACCCGGGGACUGCAUUGGAAACUGGCCUACUGGAGUGCCGGAGAGGCGAGCGGAAUUCCUAGUGUAGCGGUGAAAUGCGUAGAUAUAAGGAGGAACACCAGUGGCGAAGGCGGCCUGCUGGACGGUAACUGACGCUGAGGCUCGAAAGCGUGGGGAGCAAACAGGAUUAGAUACCCCGGUAGUC